GGAUCCAACUGACCCGACCCACAUCUUUUUUUGUCAAUAAAAUAAUAUCCUAAUAUUAUAAACAAAAUACACCCGUAUAUAAAACCCUAAUGAAAAACCCUGGGGCCUAAUCAUCCCUAAAGCCCUGACGCUGGAAGCUUUCUCUUUGUUUCUCCUCCAAACCCAAAUAAUAAUUUGAGUCAAACGAUUCAAAGGGAAAUGCAAAGGUGCUUGUUGUCUUCUUCUACUAUUACUUCUGCAGCACUGCGUCUUCACCCGUUGAUGCCCAAGUUCAUGGCAGUUGAAAUCUUUUCUCUAAUACCAUCUCAACUUAAAUUUAAAAAACUUAGACCACCUUCAAGGCUCAUGCCUAGCUCUCCAAAACUUUGCCAACACUUGAAUCUUUUCACAACCCUUCACAAUGCCUCUACAUUUGCCUUGCCACCCAACCACUUAACUUGUGCACUACCUCCGAAUAGAAAUAUAAUCUCUACAUGCUCAUCUUGCAAUGGUAUCAGAUCAACCUAUUUGCUGCCUCUUUCCAAAAGGUUUUUUUCUCAAUCCCCUCAACCAGCAACUAAGACGCCUACGAGAAUAGCUACAGGUAAAGCCAAACCCAGUGAUAGUAUGAGUGUCAGAGAUGGGAGGAGUAGUGGCUUCAGAUUCAGAUGGUUUAAUAGGCAUUCAAAGAAGCCAAAGGCAGUGGCUGCUCUCAAUGGGAACAAGUGUGCACCUUUUGAAUCACCUGCUUCAACUUCACUACUUAACAAUGCUAAGCCAGACUCUACUUCAAAUUCACUGGUUAACAAUGCUAAGCCAAACUCUGCUUCAACUUCAUUGAUUACCAAUGCUAAGACAGAAUCUAAAGAUAGUCUGGAAAAGAAAAAGCAGUCAAGAAGCAAGAAAAAAAAGGAACAAAUGUCCAGCACUGUUGUUCCAAAGGAAGAACCUGUGGUGAAAGGCACUAAAACUCUUUCUCUGGUAGUGACCUCUAAUAUUAGCAAAAAUGGCCAGCAUCCCACACAGGCUGCAGAGAAAAAUUCAACUGGCAACUUGCCUACUGAAGCCCAUGAUGGUUCUGCUUCAACCAAAAAGCAGUCAAAAAAGAAAAGCAGGAGCUCAAGUAGAAAAAGGCAGCCAAUGAAAGAAGUUAAUGAGCCAGCUCAGAAACAGGUGCCACAACAUAUAUCUCAACAAGAAAAGCCACUGAAGCAGCUAUAUCCUCCCACUGGGAAGUCUGUUAUGGUGGUUGAGUCUGUCACAAAGGCGAAGGUCAUUCAGGGCUACCUUGGUGAUAUGUUUGAAGUAUUGCCUAGCUAUGGUCAUGUUAGGGACCUGGCUGCACGGUCAGGAUCUGUGCGACCUGGUGAUGACUUUAGCAUGGUAUGGGAGGUCCCCAGUGCUGCAUGGACGCAUCUUAAAAGCGUUAAGGUUGCACUAAGUGGAGCAGAAAAUCUUAUUCUCGCAUCAGACCCAGACCGUGAAGGCGAGGCUAUCUCUUGGCACAUCAUUGAGAUGUUGCAGCAGCAGGAUGCUUUAGGUGAAAAUGUUCAUGUAGCAAGAGUUGUCUUUCAUGAAAUAACUGAAGCAUCCAUCAAAGGUGCUCUGCAAGUGCCACGAGAAAUUGAUGUAAACUUGGUAAAUGCUUAUCUUGCUAGACGUGCUCUUGAUUACCUGAUUGGCUUUAACAUUUCACCACUAUUAUGGAGGAAGCUACCGGGUUGCCAGUCUGCCGGACGAGUGCAAUCAGCUGCUUUGUCUAUUAUUUGUGACAGAGAAACAGAGAUUGAUGAGUUUAAGCCAAAGGAGUAUUGGACUAUUGAGGUUCAGUUGAACUUUGAGGAACCAAAUGCUCCAGUAAAAAAUGCUUCUUUCCCUGCACGCUUAACUCAUUUUAAUUCAGAGAAGUUAGGUCAAUUCUCAAUCGUUUCAGAUACAGAAGCUAAGGAUGUUGAACAGAAGAUUAAUUUAGAAAAUUUUAAAGUGAUCAGCUCUAAAAGAAACACAAUGCGAAGAAACUCUCCUGCACCCUAUAUAACAUCAACGCUUCAGCAGGAUGCUGCAAACAAAUUAAAUUUUCCGGCAACAUAUACAAUGAAGCUUGCUCAAAAACUUUAUGAGGGGAUUCAAUUGUUAGAUGGUGAGGCAACUGGGUUGAUAACAUACACCAGAACAGAUGGGCUACAUAUUUCUGAUGAAGCUGUUAAGGACAUUCGCUCCUUGGUUUUGGAAAGAUAUGGGCCAAAUUUUACCCCACAAAGUGCACGCAAGUAUUUUAAGAAGGUCAAGAAUGCUAUGGAGGCUCAUGAAGCAAUUAGACCCACCGAUAUUCGGAGGUUACCAUCAAUGCUUGUUGGAGCACUUGAUGAAGAUUCAUUGAAGUUAUACACUCUUAUUUGGUCAAGGACAAUGGCAUGUCAAAUGGAACCUGCAACCAUAGAGCAGAUACAAAUUGAAACUGGAAAUUGUGAUGAGUCCAUCAGUUUCCGAUCUUCAUGCUCAAGAGUAGCGUUCCUUGGAUAUCAGUCUGCUUAUCAGGAUGCUGAAUCUGAAACAAUCAGAUUUAAGGAUAGUGAAGCAAAUGAUUGUGCCGAGGAUUUUGGGAUUCUUAGUUCCCUGAAGAAAGGGGAUCAAUUAUAUCUUGGUAAAGUAGAGCUCAAGCAGCAUUAUACUCAGCCUCCACCACGCUAUUCUGAAGGAUCAUUGGUUAAGAAACUGGAGGAGCUUGGGAUUGGAAGACCUUCGACAUAUGCAUCUACAUUGAAAGUUUUACAGGAUAGAAACUAUGUGACAGUAAAAAGUCGAGUAUUAUAUCCUGAAUUUCGCGGACGCAUGGUCUCAGCAUUUCUCUUGCACCAUUUUUCUGAGGUCACUGAUUACAGUUUUACUGCUGACAUGGAGACAGAGCUUGACAAUGUUUCUGCUGGCUUAACUGAAUGGAAGGGGCUCCUUAGGGACUAUUGGACUCGUUUCAGCUCAUAUUGUAGUCGUGUUGAGAGUGUUCAUAUUCAUCAGGUGGAGAAGAUGUUGGAAAAGACAUUUGGAGAUUUCUUGUUUGCUUCUCUCCCUAAUAAAAGUAGGACGUGUCCAAGUUGCAUGGAGGGCACAUUAAUUUUCAAAGUAAGUAGGUUUGGUGCCGGCUAUUUUAUAGGGUGUAACCAGCAUCCAAAGUGCAAGUAUAUUGCUAAGAAGUUAUGUGGUGAUGAGGAGGAAGAAGAGAGUCCUCAAAAGAGUGGCUCUGUCGAGGAGCCAAAACUAUUAGGUCUUCAUCCAGGUUCCAAUGAGAAGGUUUUAUUAAAGAAUGGCCCCUAUGGAUACUACGUGCAGCUUGGUGAAGACAGAAUGGGUUAUUUACCUAAGCGAUCAUCUGUUCCUCAUAGAAAGAAAGUGGACUCCAUCACCCUUGACGAUGCUCUUGAGUUGCUGCGCUACCCUCUGACAUUGGGAGAACACCCUAAGGAUGGGCACCCUGUGAUAUUGAAGCUUGCCAAGGUCGGAUUCUCUGUUCGCCAUCGACGAACCAAUGCUUCUGUUCCUAAGAGUAUGAAGCCGAAAGACAUCACCCUAGAAAAAGCAUUGGAGUUUUUGUCAAGUAAAGAUGUGAGACGAUCUGGGCGACCUACGAACAAACCAAAGGUCGAAGAAGUUAUUGAGACCCGAUAGGCUUGUAACCUCAAAGGAGCAGAUGCUUUUGGGAUGAGUAGAAGGUUUUUUGUGACUGCAUAGGUAUCUCCAGGUUGAUUUGAAAGCAAGAGGGGCGUGAAUAAUGCGGUUGGAAGCACACAACAUGUACCUAUCUGUGUUCCGCUUAUUACUAAGAGGCUCUAUUGAUAAAGAUUGCAUACACUCCUCUCGUUGAGAAGAUCGCACAGAAUAAAUAGCUGGACUGCUAUGCUACUUUCACAUGCCGGCUUAUACAAUACAGAUUGUUCAGCAUGCAAAAUUUCUGGUGCAGCUAUUUUAUUCUUCCAGAAAAAGUGAUAGAGAGUGACUCAGCUUUGUACUUCAUUUUUUGAUGAGGGAGGUACUGCUCUGCCCAAGAUGCUCGCGUUUAUUGGAAUUUUAUUUGCCAUUCAAAGUGGUUUGAAAAACC
Non-coding RNA from Durio zibethinus, 4072 nucleotides. Lineage: Eukaryota; Viridiplantae; Streptophyta; Magnoliopsida; Malvales; Malvaceae. The record is from RefSeq and is a predicted model, not a curated record.